RNAcentral lists this ribosomal RNA (500 nucleotides) under uncultured bacterium. RNAcentral describes it as "partial 16S ribosomal RNA". It matches the Rfam family "Bacterial small subunit ribosomal RNA", at positions 30 to 523 of the family's 1533-position model. The record is from RNAcentral.
AUUGAACGCUGGCGGAAUGCUUUACGCAUGCAAGUCGAACGGCAGCACGGACUUCGGUCUGGUGGCGAGUGGCGAACGGGUGAGUAAUGUAUCGGAACGUGCCCAGUCGUGGGGGAUAACGUAGUGAAAAUUACGCUAAUACCGCAUACGAUCUAUGGAUGAAAGCGGGGGAUCGCAAGACCUCGCGCGAUUGGAGCGGCCGAUAUCAGAUUAGGUAGUUGGUGGGGUAAAGGCCCACCAAGCCAACGGUCUGUAGCUGGUCUGAGAGGACGACCAGCCACACUGGAACUGAGACACGGUCCAGACCCCUACGGGAGGCAGCAGUGGGGAAUUUUGGACAAUGGGCGAAAGCCUGAUCCAGCCAUUCCGCGUGCAGGAUGAAGGCCCUCGGGUUGUAAACUGCUUUUGUACAGAACGAAAAGGUUUCUACUAAUACUAGGAGCUCAUGACGGUACUGUAAGAAUAAGCACCGGCUAACUACGUGCCAGCCGCCGCCGUAA